GAUGAACGCUGGCGGCGUGUCUAAUACAUGCAAGUCGAGCGAAUGGAUUAAGAGCUUGCUCUUAUGAAGUUAGCGGCGGACGGGUGAGUAACACGUGGGUAACCUGCCCAUAAGACUGGGAUGACUCCGGGAAACCGGGGCUAAUACCGGAUAACAUUUUGAACCGCAUGGUUCGAAAUUGAAAGGCGGCUUCGGCUGUCACUUAUGGAUGGACCCGCGUCGCAUUAGCUAGUUGAUGAGGUAACGGCUCACCAAGGCAACGAUGCGUAGCCGACCUGGGAGGGUGAUCGGCCACACUGGGACUGAGACACGGCCCAGACUCCUACGGGAGGCAGCAGUAGGGAAUCUUCCGCAAUGGACGAAAGUCUGACGGAGCAACGCCGCGUGAGUGAUGAAGGCUUUCGGGUCGUAAAACUCUGUUGUUAGGGAAGAACAAGUGCUAGUUGAAUAAGCUGGCACCUUGACGGUACCUAACCAGAAAGCCACGGCUAACUACGUGCCAGCCGCCGCGGUAA
Molecule: ribosomal RNA, 515 nt
Filed under: uncultured bacterium
Lineage: Bacteria
Description: partial 16S ribosomal RNA
Rfam family: Bacterial small subunit ribosomal RNA
Source: RNAcentral